This 288-nucleotide unclassified non-coding RNA is filed under the name Bombus terrestris (buff-tailed bumblebee). Its description in RNAcentral is "misc RNA ENSBTSG00005029569.1". Lineage: Eukaryota; Metazoa; Arthropoda; Insecta; Hymenoptera; Apidae. The record is from RNAcentral.
UGUGAUUUCGAUCAGACGAGCUCGAUAGGCGAUCUCGUUCUAGCUUUUAACGACCUUGGAACGAGAAACGAUAAUGCUACUUGCUGACUCGUUUCGUCAUCUUUCAUACUUUCCAGCGCCUUUCGGCGAGCUCUCCUCGGUUCUCCUCUCCGUCGCGUGAUUUCGAGAAUUUUCUAACGUUUCUACUGGAAGCUGAACAUUUAAUUCUUGACACAAUUGAAAGAAAUAGUGGAAAAUUUCGUAUUUUGGGAUUAAAUAUAAGUUUCCGGCGAGCGAAGAUGACGAUAG